RNAcentral lists this ribosomal RNA (486 nucleotides) under uncultured bacterium. RNAcentral describes it as "bacterial SSU rRNA". It matches the Rfam family "Bacterial small subunit ribosomal RNA", at positions 30 to 507 of the family's 1533-position model. The record is from RNAcentral.
AUUGAACGCUGGCGGAAUGCUUUACACAUGCAAGUCGAACGGCAGCAUAGGUGCUUGCACCUGAUGGCGAGUGGCGAACGGGUGAGUAAUACAUCGGAACGUGCCCAGUCGUGGGGGAUAACGUAGCGAAAGUUACGCUAAUACCGCAUACGAUCUACGGAUGAAAGCGGGGGACCGUAAGACCUCGCGCGAUUGGAGCGGCCGAUGGCAGAUUAGGUAGUUGGUGGGGUAAAGGCUCACCAAGCCGACGAUCUGUAGCUGGUCUGAGAGGACGACCAGCCACACUGGGACUGAGACACGGCCCAGACUCCUACGGGAGGCAGCAGUGGGGAAUUUUGGACAAUGGGCGCAAGCCUGAUCCAGCCAUUCCGCGUGCAGGAUGAAGGCCCUCGGGUUGUAAACUGCUUUUGUACAGAACGAAAAGGCUCUGGUUAAUACCUGGGGCUCAUGACGGUACUGUAAGAAUAAGCACCGGCUAACUACGUG